This 582-nucleotide long non-coding RNA is filed under the name Anolis carolinensis (green anole). RNAcentral's name for it is "lncRNA (ENSACAG00000035600.1)". The record is from RNAcentral. Lineage: Eukaryota; Metazoa; Chordata; Lepidosauria; Squamata; Anolidae.
AUGAGUUUGUGUGAAAAUAAAUCGGAGUUCUUAAGCCUGGAAGUGUCUAACAACCGAGACCAGAAUAUCAGCCCCAGUGCCAGACAAAAAAGAGGAUGGCCCAGCAGGCAGAUGCCUUCACUAGAUACUUUUGAGGACUUUGAAGUCAUCCCAUCCAGUGCGGAGGAGCUUUCUAACUCUUCAGAUAUGGAGGAGGAAAACCAGUCUAAUAAUGGGUCCAAUCUCUACCAGGUAGAAGGCCAUUAUGACACCUGUUUCUCAGAAUCCCUUACGCUAGAAGAUGGGGAUUUAGUGCAGUUGAUACAGGAAGGUGAAGACGGACAAUGGUUAGUGAAGAAACUGGUUUCUGAGAAAACGGACUGGGUUCCUUCCAGCCUGCUUCAGCCAGCAGAAGGGGAUGCCAUAUACAUCUUCAGGAUCAGCAAUGCAGGUAGCAGUGAGUCUGAAAAGUGUUUUGCUUCCGGUUUUAGAACAAGAUCAUUAAAAUUGGAAGAGACCCUAAGGGCCAUUCAUCCAACCCCAAGUUAUUCAGGGACACACUAUCAAAGCACUCCCGACAAAUGGCCACCCCGCCUGUUGUAG